This 462-nucleotide ribosomal RNA is filed under the name uncultured forest soil bacterium. RNAcentral's name for it is "bacterial SSU rRNA". It matches the Rfam family "Bacterial small subunit ribosomal RNA", at positions 338 to 795 of the family's 1533-position model. The record is from RNAcentral.
CCUACGGGGGGCUGCAGUCGAGAAUCUUCGGCAAUGGGCGCAAGCCUGACCGAGCGACGCCGCGUGCGGGAUGAAGGCUUUCGGGUUGUAAACCGCUGUCAGUGGGAAGGAAAUACCGGUGAGUUAUCUCAUCGGCUUGACUGACCCGCAGAGGAAGUGUGGGCUAAGUUCGUGCCAGCAGCCGCGGUAAGACGAACCACACAAACGUUAUUCGGAAUCACUGGGCUUACAGGGUGCGUAGGCUGUGCAGCAAGUGGGGUGUGAAAUCCUACGGCUUAACCGUAGAACUGCGCUCCAAACUGCUGUGCUUGAGGGAGAUAGAGGUGAGCGGAACUUACGGUGGAGCGGUGAAAUGCGUUGAUAUCGUAAGGAACACCGGUGGCGAAAGCGGCUCACUGGAUCUCUUCUGACGCUGAGGCACGAAAGCUAGGGGAGCGAACGGGAUUAGAUACCCCAGUAGUC